Oenanthe melanoleuca is the source of this 1922-nucleotide RNA transcript. It is a transcript of the gene named MyoD family inhibitor, with no coding region annotated. Lineage: Eukaryota; Metazoa; Chordata; Aves; Passeriformes; Muscicapidae. The record is from RefSeq and is a predicted model, not a curated record. The transcript is spliced from 5 exons.
UUGGAAGGAAUUGAGAAAAAAAAAAAAAAAAGCCCCGAAGCCCAACCCCAUCGCCGGGGCCCGGGGGAUGCGGGGCGGGCGCGGGGGCGGGCGCGGAGCCCGGCGGGGCCCCAGGUGAGCGGGACGGGACGGGUCCCGCACCGAGCCCGCAGCUCCCGCGCCCCCCGAGCCCCCCGAGCCCCCCGAGCCCCCCGCACCCAUGUCCCGGCCCGGCAGCCCCCGGCCGAGCCCCCCGGAGCAGCCCCGAGCAGAGCCGGUGCCGCCGCCAGAGGUGGCUGAGCCCUCGCUGCCUCCCCCGAGGCAGAUCCCAGCGCUGCCACUCGCCCGCCCCGCGGUGCCCAAGAAGGAGAAACCCCUGGAAGAUGAGAAAUCCCCAGCGGCGCUGACCAAAGCCCCCCGGGCCGAGCUCUGCGGCGCUCCCGAAGCUGUGACAUGCCAGCCCCAGGUGCGGCCACCCCCGCAGCCCCCCGGGCCCUGCACCCUGCUGCUGCCCAACGGCGCCGGGCGGGGGCCGGAGCCGGGCGGUGCCCACGGGGAGGCGGGGAACGGGAGCUGCCGAGCGCAGAAACCGCCCCGAAAGCUGCAGCCGCACCACUCCAUCCACAGCCAGGGCAGCAAGAAGGGCAAGGGCAGCUCCAAGUCGCCCUCUUCACACAUCCCCAUUGAGGCGCAGGAAGACUGCUGCGUCCACUGCAUCCUCUCCUGCCUCUUCUGCGAGUUCCUGACCCUCUGCAACAUCGUGCUGGACUGCGCCACCUGCGGCUCCUGCACCUCCGAGGACUCCUGCAUCUGCUGCUGCUGCUGCAACUCGGGCGAGUGCGCGGACUGCGACCUGCCCUGCGACAUGGACUGCGGCAUCAUCGACGCCUGCUGCGAGUCCGCCGACUGCCUGGAGAUCUGCAUGGAGUGCUGCGGGCUCUGCUUCUCCUCCUGAGGGGCCGCUCUGGGCGGGGGGGCCGCGCUGGGACCCCCAGGCUCCGGCCGGUGCCUUGGAGCUGGCGGAGGAGAGAAUCCCCCGCUGGAAUUGUCACGAGAGAAUCCCCCGCUGGAAUUGUCACGAGAGAAUCCCUCGCUGGAAUUGUCAUCCUCGGAGAGGAGCCUGCCCGGGGAGUGAAGCCAGAGGGGCUCUGACUCUGGCAGUGUCCUGUCCUGCUCUACCUCUGCCAGCACAGGGGGACAGAGCCGCCUGCCACCUGAGCCGAGAGCAGGAGUGUCCUGCAGAGCCACCACCCCAGAGCCUGGCGUUGGGGACACUGGGGACAGCCCGUCCUGCAGAGCAACCCUGGAUCCUGGCACUGGGGACACUGGGGACAGCCCGUCCUGCAGAGCCACCUCAGAACCUGGUAUUGGGGACAUUGGGGACAGCCCGUCCUGCAGAGCAAUCCCGGAUCCUGGCACUGGGGACACUGGGGACAGCCCCAUACCGCAGAGCCACCUCAGAACCUGGUCUUGGGGACAUUGGGGACAGCCCGUCCUGCAGAGCCACCCCGGCUCCUGGCGUUGGGGACAGCCCGUCCUGCAGAGCCACCUCAGAACCUGGCGUUGGGGACACUGGGGACAGCCCGUCCCGCAGAUCCACCCCGGCUCCUGGCACUGAGGUCAUUUGGGACAGCCCAUCCCGCUGCCACCCCCCAGGACAGCACUCCGGGGAGGUUACAGGGGGUGGCCCAGAGCAUCCCCCCUCCGGGGACAUCACCAAGGACACCUCCAAGGCUGGGUGACCCCCGGGCGAUGCUGGAGCCUCCCCCCGUGCGGGGGGUCGUGUCCUGCCAGCCCCCCUGCCCUCGGUGCUCAGCCAAGUGCAAUAAAUACCCGGGGAGAAACGUUUCCUGAUCUGUCACCGUGUGUCCCCCUGUGUCCCUGUGUGUCCCCAGUGUGUUCCUGUGUGUCCCUGUGUGUCUCUCUGUGUCCCCCGUGUGUCC